AGGUCUGUAGCUCCAAUUGGUAGAGCGUCGGUCUCCAAAACCGAAUGUUGUCGGUUCGAAUCCGGCCAGGCCUGCCA
RNAcentral lists this transfer RNA (77 nucleotides) under Candidatus Marinamargulisbacteria bacterium. Its description in RNAcentral is "tRNA-Trp". It matches the Rfam family "tRNA". Rfam says of the family: Transfer RNA (tRNA) molecules are approximately 80 nucleotides in length. Their secondary structure includes four short double-helical elements and three loops (D, anti-codon, and T loops). Lineage: Bacteria; Bacillati; Candidatus Margulisiibacteriota; Candidatus Marinamargulisbacteria. The record is from RNAcentral.